CAACGUCGUAAUAAAAAAAUUGCGCCUCAAAAUUCAAUACAAAAAUCAAUACAAAAUCCUCCAAAAACACCAUACAAUCUUCAAGCUUUAAGAAAUUGGGAGUUCUAAUCGGAAAGCAUGCCUAAACUUAACUAGAGCACAUAAGGUUGAAGAGUUGGAUUCCCUCCAGGCACCAUCGAUUACAAUUCACACCAGAAGGGUAAAUUUGGGUGUUCUUUGUUAAUGUUUGUCGGAAAAUUAUUUCGAUCACCAUACUGAACUUUCAAAUGCUUCCUGGAGAUCUCUAAGACCUUGCAUCUAAACCUCAAGAUGACUUCCUGCCAAACUUUCCUAUUUCAAUGUUUCCCCAGAUAACUUUAUCUUCAGCUUAGGAUAUGAUGAAACGAACUUUGUUAUUUGACUCCCUAGUGCUAAAGUCCAAACAUAGGUAAACAAUUUGCGUGAUUAAACAAUUUAUAUGAAGUUCUCUUCAUGUUGUAUUUAAUUUCCUUCGUGGUUUUGGUUUCCGACUUAUUAUGUGUUAC
This is a long non-coding RNA of Spinacia oleracea (spinach), 524 nucleotides long. RefSeq lists it as uncharacterized. Lineage: Eukaryota; Viridiplantae; Streptophyta; Magnoliopsida; Caryophyllales; Amaranthaceae. The record is from RefSeq and is a predicted model, not a curated record. The transcript has 3 exons.